AUUGAACGCUGGCGGCAGGCCUAACACAUGCAAGUCGAACGGUAGCACAGAGAGCUUGCUCUCGGGUGACGAGUGGCGGACGGGUGAGUAAUGUCUGGGAAACUGCCCGAUGGAGGGGGAUAACUACUGGAAACGGUAGCUAAUAACGCAUAACGUCGCAAGACCAAAGUGGGGGACCUUCGGGCCUCACACCAUCGGAUGUGCCCAGAUGGGGUUAGCUAGUAGGUGGGGGAAUGGCUCACCUAGGCGACGAUCCCUAGCUGGUCUGAGAGGCUGGCCAGCCACACUGGAACUGAGAACCGGUCCAGACGCCUACGGGAGGCGGCAGUGGGGAAGAUUGCACAAUGGGCGCAAGCCUGAUGCAGCCAUGCCGCGUGUAGGAAGAAGGCCUUCGGGUUGUAAAGUACUUUCAGCGGGGAGGAAGGCGGUGAAGUUAAUAACUUCACCGAUUGACGUUACCCGCAGAAGAAGCACCGGCUAACUCUGUGCCAGCCGCCGCAGUAA
RNAcentral lists this ribosomal RNA (504 nucleotides) under uncultured bacterium. Its description in RNAcentral is "partial 16S ribosomal RNA". It matches the Rfam family "Bacterial small subunit ribosomal RNA", at positions 29 to 523 of the family's 1533-position model. The record is from RNAcentral.